GACGAACGCUGGCGGCGUGCCUAAUACAUGCAAGUUGAGCGCUGAAGGGUGGUACUUGUACCAACUGGAUGAGCAGCGAACGGGUGAGUAACGCGUGGGGAAUCUGCCUUUGAGCGGGGGACAACAUUUGGAAACGAAUGCUAAUACCGCAUAAAAACUUUAAACACAAGGUUUAAGUUUGAAAGAUGCAAUUGCAUCACUCAAAGAUGAUCCCGCGUUGCAUUAGCGAGGUGGUGAGGUAAAGGCUCACCAAGGCGAUGAUACGUAGCCGACCUGAGAGGGUGAGCGGCCACACUGGAACUUGGACACGGUACAUACUCAUACGGGAGGCAGCAGUAGGGAAGCUUCCACAAUGGGCGAAAGCUUGACGGAGCAACGCGGAGUGAGUGAUGAAGGGCUGCGGAUCGUAAAACUCUGGUAUGAGGGAAGAACAAAUGUGUAAGUAACUAUGCACGGCUUGACGGGACCUAAUCAGAAAGCCACGGCUAACUACGUG
This 496-nucleotide ribosomal RNA is filed under the name uncultured bacterium. Its description in RNAcentral is "partial 16S ribosomal RNA". It matches the Rfam family "Bacterial small subunit ribosomal RNA", at positions 28 to 507 of the family's 1533-position model. The record is from RNAcentral.